AGCGGCGCCGGGGGUCCUUUGGCCGCGGC
RNAcentral lists this non-coding RNA (29 nucleotides) under Alexandrium tamarense. The record is from RNAcentral. Lineage: Eukaryota; Dinophyceae; Gonyaulacales; Pyrocystaceae.